Long non-coding RNA from Ipomoea nil (Japanese morning glory), 289 nucleotides. RefSeq lists it as uncharacterized. NCBI's taxonomy places the organism in Eukaryota, Viridiplantae, Streptophyta, Magnoliopsida, Solanales, Convolvulaceae. The record is from RefSeq and is a predicted model, not a curated record. The transcript has 3 exons.
CUAUGUAUAAUUUUGAAUCUGGAGUCCUGAUGAAGAUAAAGGAGUCCACGUGAUAUUCCCGCAGCAAUUUCAAAGCGUUUUUGCCAGGUUCAAGAAUGCUGAAUGUCAUCUUUGCAACUUCAGAGUGGUAUAUUUCCACAUUUUUGGAAGAUGCUUCAGUUGAAUUCCUUUCCACAAAGAAACCUGGCUCUUUAGGUUGAGAGCAUCAUCUUCUCCUACAAUUCUAGCAAGGCCAAAGUCAGAAAUCUUGGCGUUCAAUUCAGCAUCCAGUAAUAUGUUACUCGCCUUC